RNAcentral lists this ribosomal RNA (2923 nucleotides) under Staphylococcus aureus. RNAcentral describes it as "23S ribosomal RNA". It matches the Rfam family "Bacterial large subunit ribosomal RNA". The record is from RNAcentral. Lineage: Bacteria; Bacillati; Bacillota; Bacilli; Caryophanales; Staphylococcaceae. RNAcentral also lists the same sequence under 1 other name.
GAUUAAGUUAUUAAGGGCGCACGGUGGAUGCCUUGGCACUAGAAGCCGAUGAAGGACGUUACUAACGACGAUAUGCUUUGGGGAGCUGUAAGUAAGCUUUGAUCCAGAGAUUUCCGAAUGGGGAAACCCAGCAUGAGUUAUGUCAUGUUAUCGAUAUGUGAAUACAUAGCAUAUCAGAAGGCACACCCGGAGAACUGAAACAUCUUAGUACCCGGAGGAAGAAAAAGAAAAUUCGAUUCCCUUAGUAGCGGCGAGCGAAACGGGAAGAGCCCAAACCAACAAGCUUGCUUGUUGGGGUUGUAGGACACUCUAUACGGAGUUACAAAGGACGACAUUAGACGAAUCAUCUGGAAAGAUGAAUCAAAGAAGGUAAUAAUCCUGUAGUCGAAAAUGUUGUCUCUCUUGAGUGGAUCCUGAGUACGACGGAGCACGUGAAAUUCCGUCGGAAUCUGGGAGGACCAUCUCCUAAGGCUAAAUACUCUCUAGUGACCGAUAGUGAACCAGUACCGUGAGGGAAAGGUGAAAAGCACCCCGGAAGGGGAGUGAAAUAGAACCUGAAACCGUGUGCUUACAAGUAGUCAGAGCCCGUUAAUGGGUGAUGGCGUGCCUUUUGUAGAAUGAACCGGCGAGUUACGAUUUGAUGCAAGGUUAAGCAGUAAAUGUGGAGCCGUAGCGAAAGCGAGUCUGAAUAGGGCGUUUAGUAUUUGGUCGUAGACCCGAAACCAGGUGAUCUACCCUUGGUCAGGUUGAAGUUCAGGUAACACUGAAUGGAGGACCGAACCGACUUACGUUGAAAAGUGAGCGGAUGAACUGAGGGUAGCGGAGAAAUUCCAAUCGAACCUGGAGAUAGCUGGUUCUCUCCGAAAUAGCUUUAGGGCUAGCCUCAAGUGAUGAUUAUUGGAGGUAGAGCACUGUUUGGACGAGGGGCCCCUCUCGGGUUACCGAAUUCAGACAAACUCCGAAUGCCAAUUAAUUUAACUUGGGAGUCAGAACAUGGGUGAUAAGGUCCGUGUUCGAAAGGGAAACAGCCCAGACCACCAGCUAAGGUCCCAAAAUAUAUGUUAAGUGGAAAAGGAUGUGGCGUUGCCCAGACAACUAGGAUGUUGGCUUAGAAGCAGCCAUCAUUUAAAGAGUGCGUAAUAGCUCACUAGUCGAGUGACACUGCGCCGAAAAUGUACCGGGGCUAAACAUAUUACCGAAGCUGUGGAUUGUCCUUUGGACAAUGGUAGGAGAGCGUUCUAAGGGCGUUGAAGCAUGAUCGUAAGGACAUGUGGAGCGCUUAGAAGUGAGAAUGCCGGUGUGAGUAGCGAAAGACGGGUGAGAAUCCCGUCCACCGAUUGACUAAGGUUUCCAGAGGAAGGCUCGUCCGCUCUGGGUUAGUCGGGUCCUAAGCUGAGGCCGACAGGCGUAGGCGAUGGAUAACAGGUUGAUAUUCCUGUACCACCUAUAAUCGUUUUAAUCGAUGGGGGGACGCAGUAGGAUAGGCGAAGCGUGCGAUUGGAUUGCACGUCUAAGCAGUAAGGCUGAGUAUUAGGCAAAUCCGGUACUCGUUAAGGCUGAGCUGUGAUGGGGAGAAGACAUUGUGUCUUCGAGUCGUUGAUUUCACACUGCCGAGAAAAGCCUCUAGAUAGAAAAUAGGUGCCCGUACCGCAAACCGACACAGGUAGUCAAGAUGAGAAUUCUAAGGUGAGCGAGCGAACUCUCGUUAAGGAACUCGGCAAAAUGACCCCGUAACUUCGGGAGAAGGGGUGCUCUUUAGGGUUAACGCCCAGAAGAGCCGCAGUGAAUAGGCCCAAGCGACUGUUUAUCAAAAACACAGGUCUCUGCUAAACCGUAAGGUGAUGUAUAGGGGCUGACGCCUGCCCGGUGCUGGAAGGUUAAGAGGAGUGGUUAGCUUCUGCGAAGCUACGAAUCGAAGCCCCAGUAAACGGCGGCCGUAACUAUAACGGUCCUAAGGUAGCGAAAUUCCUUGUCGGGUAAGUUCCGACCCGCACGAAAGGCGUAACGAUUUGGGCACUGUCUCAACGAGAGACUCGGUGAAAUCAUAGUACCUGUGAAGAUGCAGGUUACCCGCGACAGGACGGAAAGACCCCGUGGAGCUUUACUGUAGCCUGAUAUUGAAAUUCGGCACAGCUUGUACAGGAUAGGUAGGAGCCUUUGAAACGUGAGCGCUAGCUUACGUGGAGGCGCUGGUGGGAUACUACCCUAGCUGUGUUGGCUUUCUAACCCGCACCACUUAUCGUGGUGGGAGACAGUGUCAGGCGGGCAGUUUGACUGGGGCGGUCGCCUCCUAAAAGGUAACGGAGGCGCUCAAAGGUUCCCUCAGAAUGGUUGGAAAUCAUUCAUAGAGUGUAAAGGCAUAAGGGAGCUUGACUGCGAGACCUACAAGUCGAGCAGGGUCGAAAGACGGACUUAGUGAUCCGGUGGUUCCGCAUGGAAGGGCCAUCGCUCAACGGAUAAAAGCUACCCCGGGGAUAACAGGCUUAUCUCCCCCAAGAGUUCACAUCGACGGGGAGGUUUGGCACCUCGAUGUCGGCUCAUCGCAUCCUGGGGCUGUAGUCGGUCCCAAGGGUUGGGCUGUUCGCCCAUUAAAGCGGUACGCGAGCUGGGUUCAGAACGUCGUGAGACAGUUCGGUCCCUAUCCGUCGUGGGCGUAGGAAAUUUGAGAGGAGCUGUCCUUAGUACGAGAGGACCGGGAUGGACAUACCUCUGGUGUACCAGUUGUCGUGCCAACGGCAUAGCUGGGUAGCUAUGUGUGGACGGGAUAAGUGCUGAAAGCAUCUAAGCAUGAAGCCCCCCUCAAGAUGAGAUUUCCCAACUUCGGUUAUAAGAUCCCUCAAAGAUGAUGAGGUUAAUAGGUUCGAGGUGGAAGCAUGGUGACAUGUGGAGCUGACGAAUACUAAUCGAUCGAAGACUUAAUCAA